RNAcentral lists this ribosomal RNA (554 nucleotides) under Pseudomonas meliae. RNAcentral describes it as "bacterial SSU rRNA". It matches the Rfam family "Bacterial small subunit ribosomal RNA", at positions 471 to 1019 of the family's 1533-position model. The record is from RNAcentral. Lineage: Bacteria; Pseudomonadati; Pseudomonadota; Gammaproteobacteria; Pseudomonadales; Pseudomonadaceae.
GACGUUACUGGCAGAAUAAGCACCGGCUAACUCUGUGCCAGCAGCCGCGGUAAUACAGAGGGUGCGAGCGUUAAUCGGAAUUACUGGGCGUAAAGCGCGCGUAGGCGGUUUGUUAAGUUGGAUGUGAAAUCCCCGAGCUCAACUUGGGAAUUGCAUUCAAUACUGGGAAGCUAGAGUAUGGUAGAGGAUGGUGGAAUUUCAGGUGUAGCGGUGAAAUGCGUAGAUAUAGGAAGGAACACCAAUGGCGAAGGCGGCCACCUGGCCUAAUACUGACGCUGAGGUGCGAAAGCAUGGGGAGCAAACAGGAUUAGAUACCCUGGUAGUCCACGCCGUAAACGAUGUCAUACUAGCCGUUGGAAGCUUGAGCUCUUUAGUGGCGCAGCUAACGCAUAUAAGUUAGACCGCCUGGGGAGUACGGCUCGCAAGGACUAAAACUCAAAUGAAUUGACGGGGGCCCGCACAAGCGGUGGAGCAUGUGGUUUAAUUCGAUGCAACGCGAAGAACCUUACCUGGCCUUGACAUCCUAUGAACUUUCUAGAGAUGGAUUGGUGCCU